This 429-nucleotide ribosomal RNA is filed under the name Bacillota bacterium. RNAcentral's name for it is "Firmicutes bacterium partial 16S ribosomal RNA". It matches the Rfam family "Bacterial small subunit ribosomal RNA", at positions 355 to 776 of the family's 1533-position model. The record is from RNAcentral. Lineage: Bacteria; Bacillati; Bacillota.
UAGGGAAUCUUCCGCAAUGGACGAAAGUCUGACGGAGCAACGCCGCGUGAGUGAUGAAGGCUUUCGGGUCGUAAAACUCUGUUGUUAGGGAAGAACAAGUACAAGAGUAACUGCUUGUACCUUGACGGUACCUAACCAGAAAGCCACGGCUAACUACGUGCCAGCAGCCGCGGUAAUACGUAGGUGGCAAGCGUUAUCCGGAAUUAUUGGGCGUAAAGCGCGCGCAGGCGGUUUCUUAAGUCUGAUGUGAAAGCCCACGGCUCAACCGUGGAGGGUCAUUGGAAACUGGGGAACUUGAGUGCAGAAGAGAAAAGCGGAAUUCCACGUGUAGCGGUGAAAUGCGUAGAGAUGUGGAGGAACACCAGUGGCGAAGGCGGCCUUUUGGUCUGUAACUGACGCUGAGGCGCGAAAGCGUGGGGAGCAAACAGG